AUUCGGAGGAAGCUGCCUGGUACUGCAUGUACCUAGUCCAGUUUUGUCUACUCUGAUUGGCAAGACCUCUCCAGGGUGUCAGGCAGAGAAUUCUUCAUAUCACUUGUUGCUGAUCUUUAGAAAAUUGAUCUACAAAUAUCAGAGGCUGAAAUUGGAUUUUCUGUUUGCAAGGUCUAUGUUCAAUCACUGAGCUUUGGGCUCUAUCCUGACUUCCACCCUGAUAAUUCAUAUCUUUGGGUGAAGAAGAAAGCUACUUUAGAAUCUCUUUUUGACUUUCCCCCCCUUGAUAUUGCCAUUUCUUUUCAUUUUUUUUCUCCCUUGUUUCAAGUGUUUUAUUUCAUUUUCUUUGCAGGCUGGGCUUUUUAAUUAGUGGACUAUGAGACUGGAUUUUUUUAUAACCUCCAAGGAAUGACAUAUGGGGAGAACAUGGCAAAGACAGAAGCAGUAGAAUGCUUUUCCCUGUAUGACAUCAGUGCUAUUGUUUAUACCAAAUCCACGCAUAGAAUUAUUUUGCCCAUGAUUGCUGAACUUUACAAUUUAAUAAUAGCAAUUGAGCAGAGAGAAAUUACCCAUGAAGCUUUUGCCAAUUUAGAGACAACUGCAGAAGAAUUAGCAAAAGCUACGGAAGAAUUCAGCUGUAUUGCUAGAAGGCUGGCUGAAGAAUCUGGUGAUGAGGUCCUUGAGAAAGAGAUGGUGCCAGCAACUCAAACUCUCCUGGUAUCAGGAAAAAACAUCCUUCUUGCUGUUCAGAAGCUUCUCAUUCAACCCGAUGCUUGCAAUUCUGUAGAAGAAUUGGCUGUUUCUGCAAAAAGGAUACUUGUGGGAACUAUAAAAUAUUGGGAAGAUCCUCCAAGUGAUUUCCAGACUGGUCACUCUGAAUGCAGUUUGAGAUCCAGUCCAACCUCAUCACUGGGAGACUCGGAGAACCAUGGCUGUCUUAUUUCACAAAUAAUCGAGGAAAUGAGAAUUCAAGUGUCAUACAUGGCUCAGUUUCUAAAAAGGAAAGGGCCAAUCAUGACCAAAGAGGAAGUCAUUGCCACUGCUAUCCGAGUUAUUGCUGGAGGGGAAGCAUUGGUGAAAUUUGCUGGCAGAAUUACAAAGGAUUGCAUAGAUGAAAGACGUGCAGCUGAACUACUGUGUGCCUUGGAGAAAACCAAAACAAUUAACUAUCAACUUAGCAUCAUUACGCGGUAACUAGAUUUUUGAAAUAAUUUCCCCCCCGAAAAAAACAAAUUAUAUCCGUAUUUUUCUU
Notechis scutatus (mainland tiger snake) is the source of this 1252-nucleotide long non-coding RNA. Lineage: Eukaryota; Metazoa; Chordata; Lepidosauria; Squamata; Elapidae. The record is from Ensembl.